CUGGCGGCGUGCCUAACACAUGCAAGUCGAACGGAAUAUCUUCGGAUAUUAGUGGCGAACGGGUAGAGUAAUGUACAGGUAAUGUACCUUCGUACUGCGAAUAACAAGCUGAAAAGUUUGCUAAUACGGAAUAGUUUCCCUUCGGGGGCAUCCUUAAAGGAAUAAAGAUUUAUCGUGCGGAGAUCGAGCCUGUAUCCUAUUAGUUAGUUGGUGGGGUAAUGGCCUACCAAGACGACGAUGGGUAACUGGUCUGAGAGGAUGAGCAGUCACAUUGGAACUGAGAAACGGUCCAAACUCCUACGGGAGGCAGCAGUGAGGAAUUUUGCGCAAUGGGGGAAACCCUGACGCAGCCAACGCCGCGUGAGUGAUGACGGCCUUCGGGUUGUAAAGCUCUGUCGUGUGUGACGAGUAGGGACGGUAACACACAAGGAAGCCUCGGCUAACUACGUGCCAGCAGCUGC
RNAcentral lists this ribosomal RNA (461 nucleotides) under uncultured bacterium. Its description in RNAcentral is "bacterial SSU rRNA". It matches the Rfam family "Bacterial small subunit ribosomal RNA", at positions 36 to 518 of the family's 1533-position model. The record is from RNAcentral.